Molecule: non-coding RNA, 77 nt
Organism: Cyanobacterium stanieri PCC 7202
Lineage: Bacteria; Bacillati; Cyanobacteriota; Cyanophyceae; Chroococcales; Geminocystaceae
Source: Rfam
AGAAGCCGUGUGAGGUGAAAGUCUCAAGCACGGUUUUGAAGGAGAGGUUUGAGAGGUGACUCUCAGAUCGACUCUCU